This 473-nucleotide ribosomal RNA is filed under the name uncultured bacterium. Its description in RNAcentral is "bacterial SSU rRNA". It matches the Rfam family "Bacterial small subunit ribosomal RNA", at positions 328 to 793 of the family's 1533-position model. The record is from RNAcentral.
CGCUAUCACUCCUACGGGAGGCAGCAGUGGGGAAUAUUGCACAAUGGGCGCAAGCCUGAUGCAGCCAUGCCGCGUGUAUGAAGAAGGCCUUCGGGUUGUAAAGUACUUUCAGCAGUGAGGAAGGUGGUGUCGUUAAUAGCGGCAUCAUUUGACGUUAGCUGCAGAAGAAGCACCGGCUAACUCCGUGCCAGCAGCCGCGGUAAUACGGAGGGUGCGAGCGUUAAUCGGAAUUACUGGGCGUAAAGCGCAUGCAGGUGGUUUGUUAAGUCAGAUGUGAAAGCCCGGGGCUCAACCUCGGAAUUGCAUUUGAAACUGGCAGACUAGAGUACUGUAGAGGGGGUAGAAUUUCAGGUGUAGCGGUGAAAAUGCGUAGAGAUCUGAAGGAAUACCAGUGGCGAAGGCGGCCCCCUGGACAAAGACUGACGCUCAGAUGCGAAAGCGUGGGGAGCAAACAGGAUUAGAUACCCUGGUAG